RNAcentral lists this microRNA (21 nucleotides) under Monodelphis domestica (gray short-tailed opossum). Its description in RNAcentral is "mdo-miR-7386d-3p". The record is from miRBase by way of RNAcentral. Lineage: Eukaryota; Metazoa; Chordata; Mammalia; Didelphimorphia; Didelphidae.
UAAAUACCUUAUCUGGAGGAG